GACGAACGCUGGCGGCGUGCUUAACACAUGCAAGUCGAACGAGGUCCACUGCGUAGCAAUACAAGGGAAGACCUAGUGGCGAACGGGUGCGUAACACGUGAGGAACUUGUCCCGGUCUCUGGGAUAACAGUUGGAAACGACUGCUAAUACCGGAUGACGUCGGAAUCUCGCAUGGGAUACUGACGAAAGGGUUACUGGAUCGGGAGAGCCUCGCGGCCUAUCAGCUUGUUGGUGAGGUAACGGCUCACCAAGGCAUCGACGGGUAGCUGGUCUGAGAGGAUGAUCAGCCACACUGGGACUGAGACACGGCCCAGACUCCUACGGGAGGCAGCGGUGGGGAAUCUUGCGCAAUGGGCGAAAGCCUGACGCAGCAACGCCGCGUGCGGGAAGAAGGCCCUCGGGUUGUAAACCGCUUUCAGUAGGAAC
RNAcentral lists this ribosomal RNA (426 nucleotides) under uncultured bacterium. RNAcentral describes it as "bacterial SSU rRNA". It matches the Rfam family "Bacterial small subunit ribosomal RNA", at positions 28 to 446 of the family's 1533-position model. The record is from RNAcentral.